Alexandromys fortis (reed vole) is the source of this 2428-nucleotide long non-coding RNA. RefSeq lists it as uncharacterized. The transcript has 3 exons. The record is from RefSeq and is a predicted model, not a curated record. Lineage: Eukaryota; Metazoa; Chordata; Mammalia; Rodentia; Cricetidae.
ACUUCAUCAUUUUGCACAAAUUUCUAAGAUGUCGGCUCCAGACUGAUAAAAUUAUUCUUCGCCAAAAAUUUGAACCUUGACUAAUGUCAGCAAGGGAACAACACCCCCCCCAAAACUAGUUUUUAAUUGCUCAGUCACAGCUAUAAUCUUUCCCACCCCACCCCCACAUCUCUUUCUAACACACACACACACUUCUUACAUCCUAAGGAACCUGCAAUUCUAAGCCCUCUAUCUCUGCCUUACUUUGACACAUAUCCCUUAAGCUAAGCGAGAACUUGAGUACUUUUCGCCUUUCACUGUGUCUCGUUUCUCUCAGUCACUUUGCCUUUAUCCCUGAUGCAUUUGAGCCUGGCCCACCAGUUCCAGUUCUUCAACCACUACGUAUCAAAAUCUUUCAUGCUUUAAUACCCUACAACUACAUUUUCUAUGUUGAGCAUGCCUAGAGGUCUAUGUCUAAAGCCCUGAUCAUAUGGAGGUGACAUUGGAAGAUGGUGUGACCCUUCUGAAGGCGGGGCUGAGUUAGAAGGAUGGUCUCUGGUUCACUGAGAUGUGCCUUCAAGGGAGCUCUGGAAGCCUGGCUUGUCUGCUUCCUAUCAUUUGCACUCCCCAACUUGGAAUGAAGGUAGAUUUGUUCUGCCUUUCAUGUCUCACCAUUUCCAUUUGUCUGACCAUCAGACACUGGUCAUGGAUUCAUCAUGGGUUGGAACCUAGAAAACACUGACCUAAAAGAAAUCUUUUCUCCUUAUAAGUUUUAUUAUUUGGGUUUUAUGUUACAGUGACAGAAAUGUAACUAAAAUACCCAUUUACAAUACACAUUGUAGGGGGAAAACUACAGAGAUCCUGUCAAAUUCUUUAUUCCUUCAUUGAAGUUAUUACAAAGGCUAUCCCUGAACAACACAGUUAUCAAAAUUUUCAAAAGGGAGUGUACAAUCUGAACUGAAAUGAUGUGUUCUGCCUUCCCAGUCCAAGGAAUAGAGACGUUAAAUCAGUGUACAUCCAAACCCUUUGACGCCUUGUUUAUUUUCAUAGAUAUUAUAUUCAAAUCUCCAUAAUGUUCUCAAUCUUCCUGUUCAUGUAGCUCAUGUGGAGAAAAUCCAUUCUCAUCUAAUGGAUAUCACAGUAAAGUUAAAUCACUAACCAAGUGUACUUUAAGUAUAAAGGUUUUUUUUUUUCAAUCUGUCCUGGAUUUGACAAAUAAAUACAGAUUUGUUUCAGUCUGAAAAUAUCCUUGCCAUUGACAUUUCUGAAAUAUAUUGGGUCCAUUUGACUGGAAUCUUUGAAAAGUAUUAUUUAAGAAGAUGCCAACCACACACAAGACAACUGAAAUUUUUUGACAGGGUUUCUCUGUUUAGUCCUAGCUGUUCUGAAAAUUGCUUUAUAGACCAAGGCAGACUCGAACUUAGAGAUCCUUCUGCCUCUGGCUCCUGAGUGGUACUCUAAUUAAAGGUAUGCAUCACCAUGCCCAGUCUGACAAAAAAAAUUAUAGAUAAAACCAGAAGAUCAGAGAUCUCUGGAUUAAAUUGCUGCUUCUAGAUUCAUUUUCUCUAUAUCUCUUGUUAAGAGGGCCCCUAUUAUGGAGUGAGAAAUGUUGUGAACGGGAGGAUGUUGAGUCAGAAGAGCCAAUAAAAGAAAAGAGCUAUGGAGAAGGAUGAUGAGAAAUGUUGCCAGUGACUGUGUCAGAGGAGCAGGUGGCAUGAGGUUGGUGUCAGCCCAGCAGGAGGAAUAACCCUGGUGGUCAGUGUGCCGUGGCGUGCAUAUGAAGGUCAGAAGACACUUCACAGAGUCUCUUGUCUCCUUCUACUUUUCAAUGAGAUCUGAGGAUCUAUCCAGGUUAUCAGGCCCGAAUAGAAGUAUCUUUGCUUGCUGAACCACUUCACCAGACCUCUCUCCUCGAUUCAGGCAUCUAGAUGGUGUCUCUCAACUCUUUGAAGAUGAGUAUUUUCCUGCAAAGACAAGAAUAGAACCCUGCCCCAACUCUUAUGAGGUUUCCUUACCACCAGUCACCUCUGUGGAUGAGCUGUCAAUUCUUUUUCUCAAGAGGUUUCUCUUUUUAAAACCAAAUCUUUAUUAAUUUUGAUGGUAUACAGAGUUUUUCUUCUCCCAUAGAAACAAGAGUAAAAACCCCUUCCCUAACUUAGCACAUCUCCUGGUUUCCAUUGUGAGGUCAACACAUCCUUGAAAUACACCAGCUGAUUUAAUUCAGAAGUUUUUUCCAUUAUCCAAUGUCUCUCUGCUGCCAUUGUUCCUUUCUCAUUAGCAUUAAGGAAGUUCAAGCUUAAUAAAGCAUUAUUCAAUCAUUUCUGGGGGUAUUUUUCAUCCAUUUCUGUUUAACAUAUCUUUUAUAGUUUGAUUUUACCUUUCUAUAACUGCAUGACCUGUAGGAUUGUUUGGUAUACCUGUAAUAUGUUUUAUGUUAUAAUAAGCAAAA